UUUCUGUGAUGAUAACUUUGUCCAGUUCUGCUACUGAAUAUAAGAGAUGAAUUUUAAGACUCUGAGAAA
This is a small nucleolar RNA of Oryzias javanicus (javanese ricefish), 69 nucleotides long. The record is from Ensembl. Lineage: Eukaryota; Metazoa; Chordata; Actinopteri; Beloniformes; Adrianichthyidae.